CUAAUUAAUUAGUAGUAAUUUUAAUUAAUUUAAGAUUGUGUUAUGAAAGUGGUUGAUUAAUUUUAUGAAUUUUAUAAUAAGUAUUCAUAAUAAAAAUAGUAAUGUAUGCUUUUAAAGAUAAUGUUUAUUUGAAUUUAGUGUAACUGUGACUAGCAUUAUAUUUAUUGCAUAUUUAUUUAUUUUUGUGCAUAUUUAUUUAUUUAGCUUUAAAAUAUAGAUAGCGGAUCUCUUUAUGAGGUACACCACACACACAUUGGUACUCUUGAUCUCUUGGUCUUAUCGCUCAGAGCUAUAUUUUUCAGACAACCUAAGGAUGGAUUCUGAUGACAAGCAAAAGACUGGUUGGCUGUUGGGUAAAGCGCAAGCCUAUAUUAUAAUUUUAUGCCACGCUUUAUCUUCAGUUUAUGAGGAAAAGCCUUGUGCCUUCUAAAAUUAAUAAAGGACAAAACAUCCCAAUAUGGUCAUUUGAUAUCAAAUAAAUUGUGAUUAUUGUGAAAUUAUCUACCAAAAACAGUUGCAUUGUUCUGGUCAGAAUUUUCCUUCUAAAAGUUAUAAAGGACAAAACAUCCCAAUAUGGUUACUUGAGGUCAAAUAAAUUUGAAUUCUCCUAGCCUCUUAAAGCUUGUAAAAAGCGAUUUAAAUCUGUAUAAAGCGUCCACACUAUUUUGUUUGGUUUUUCCUUGAGUGGGUAAAGGAAAACUAAAUACAAAUUCUUCAAAGGUAUUUUAUUUACAAUUCAAAUAUUCUGUUUAUUGCCUAUAGGUAUCAAAGGACAAUAAAGGUGAAGAUGUGUUAUUGAUAGCAAUAAUUUGUUUUUUUGCUAACUUGCUAAUAAUAAAUCAUUUAACAUUCUAACGAUAGGUCUCAGGUAUCUACCAAUUAAGAUUUUUAAAUGGCAGAGCCUAUUUUUGAGUAUUUACCUACUCAGAACGUUCCUUACUUGCAUGUUGAAGAUUGCUUUGAAUUAUUUUACUUUUACUGAAUCUUUUUUACACAGAAUAGAUAGAUUGCCUAUUUACCUAGGAUACUAUUCCAUCUAACUUUCUUGAUUAACAGAUAGGCAAUUUAAGUUUUUUUUUAACGACGUCAAAAUCAUCAAAUGACAAUUCCCGCUGUGUUAGUAAGAACUUAAGUGCAUAGGUACAUACUUAUUAAUAACUACAUAAUACCUAAAAUAAUUAAUUUUACGCGCGUCCUUUCCUGCUAGGUGACACACGCAUUUAGGUGAAAUAAAACUCCGAACAGGAAAAUAGUGGACCGACUAGUUAUUUUUUCAAUCAUUAGUGAAAUCAUAUAUAAAGAUGCAUCGCGGCUUGCAUUUCUGUACAACUGCAGACACAAAGCCACGAUGAAGUCCUGGACCAUACUGUUUUGUAUUGUGCUAUUCAACCUGGCAAUCGCUAUACCCGACUGCCCCGAGGGUGAAUACUAUCCGGGCCCCGACUGCACUCUGGAGCCAUCUUGCCAGGGAAACGCGAGCCCAACAGCGCACGCGAAGCAUGCUUGUGAAACAUGUUGGUGCAAACCUGGCACACUGAGAAAUCUGGAAACCAACACUUGCGUUAAAUCUUGUUAAUAAUAAUAAAGUGCAGUUUUAACAGGC
RNA transcript from Helicoverpa armigera (cotton bollworm), 1603 nucleotides. RefSeq lists it as uncharacterized. The record is from RefSeq and is a predicted model, not a curated record. Lineage: Eukaryota; Metazoa; Arthropoda; Insecta; Lepidoptera; Noctuidae. The transcript is spliced from 2 exons.